CAAGGACAGACAAACGGAUGAUUAAGUCGAUUAUAUCGACCCCAGUACGUAACUGGUACUUAUUUAAUCGACCCCGAAAGGAUGAAAGGCAAAGUCGACCUCGGUUUAAUUUCUGACUUGCUUGAACGUACUGCGACUUGUUCCUUGCUGGAUCUCUAUGUUACCUGCUUACUGUCAUUGUCCACCUUGGAUUUAUUGUGAUAUCUUCCUCCUCCACAGGGUCUAUAAACGAUAGAAUAUCAGAGGACAUUGGCAUCAGAGGAAUUUUACUGCAGAAGCGUCAUCAAUAUUUAUCAUAUUUUGAAGAUGAUGUUACACAGAACUGGAUAUAAGAACCCUGUUUAUGUAAAUUAACUGUGAAUUACAGUAAAAUAUUUCUUCUGAGUGACAUUAUUGGUGAAAUUUCUUGGAUUCACUCUGAAAUGAGUACAACCUAAAUUUGAAUUCUGAAUAAACUUGGAUAAAUUUAAAAAGACAUUUGCAACAUCUGAAGAUAUCAGCAAAGCUUAUAUUUGAUAAAAAUAUGGCAGUUGUAACAUUUGUUAGGAAUAAAAUAUAGAAACAAGAAGAAAUGAAAUUUCCAGACCUUUUGUUGAAGAAAAAAUUACAGAAAGAGGAAUUGUGUGAGAAUCUUGGAGUUUUGUUAGUUUUAGCUGCAGAGAUGCCAAAAGAAAGAGGAAAAUCUGUAUACGACUGUGAUAUCUGUGGUAAAUCAUUCUCUCAAAGUGUCACAUAACUAACACAAACUUAUUCAUACAGGAGAGAAACCAUAUCAUUGUGAUAUCUGUGGUAAAUCAUUUCUCAUUGUAGUGGUUUAACUUGUCACAGAUUUACUCAUACAGGAGAGAAACACCAUCAUUGUGAUAUCUGUGGUAAAUCAUUUGCUCGAAAUGGUAACUUAACUAUACACAAACUUACUCAUACAGGGGAGAAA
RNAcentral lists this unclassified non-coding RNA (934 nucleotides) under Octopus sinensis (East Asian common octopus). RNAcentral's name for it is "zinc finger protein 708-like, transcript variant X2". Lineage: Eukaryota; Metazoa; Mollusca; Cephalopoda; Octopoda; Octopodidae. The record is from RNAcentral.